UUCCAGACUCCUACGGGAGGCAGCAGUGAGGAAUAUUGGUCAAUGGGCGGAAGCCUGAACCAGCCAAGUCGCGUGAGGGAAGAAGGCCCUGCGGGUCGCAGACCUCUUUGGACGGGGAGCAAGGCCGCCGACGUGUCGGCGGAAGGAGAGUACCCGUAGAACAAGCAUCGGCUAACUACGUGCCAGCAGCCGCGGUAAUACGUAGGGGGCGAGCGUUAUCCGGAUUCACUGGGUGUAAAGGGAGCGUAGACGGCCAUGCAAGCCAGGGGUGAAAGCCCGGGGCCCAACCCCGGGACUGCCCUUGGAACUGCAUGGCUGGAGUGCGGGAGGGGCAGGCGGAAUUCCUGGUGUAGCGGUGAAAUGCGUAGAUAUCAGGAGGAACACCGGCGGCGAAGGCGGCCUGCUGGACCGCGACUGACGUUGAGGCUCGAAAGCGUGGGGAGCGAACAGGAUUAGAUACCCCUGUA
This 467-nucleotide ribosomal RNA is filed under the name uncultured bacterium. RNAcentral describes it as "partial 16S ribosomal RNA". It matches the Rfam family "Bacterial small subunit ribosomal RNA", at positions 329 to 792 of the family's 1533-position model. The record is from RNAcentral.